GACGAACGCUGGCGGCGUGCUUAACACAUGCAAGUCGAACGGACAGACCCGGCUCUUGUGGGGUGCUCGAGUGGCGAACGGGGGAGUAACACGUGAGUAACCUGCCCUUGACUUUGGGAUAACUUCUGGAAACUGCGGCUCAUACCGGAGAGGAGCUCCUGCUGCAUGGUGGUGGUUGGAGAGUGUCGGCGGUAGGGGAUGGACUCGCGGCUUAUGCGCUUCUUUGUCGGGUAGUGGCGUACCAAGGCUUUGACGGGUAGGCGGCAUGAGAGGGUGACCGGGCACAUUGGGACUGAGAGACGGCCCAGAAUCCAACGGGACGCAGCAGGGGAGAAUAUUGCAGAAUGGGCGGAAGCCUGAUGUAGCAGCGCCGCGUGCGGGAUGACGGCCUUCGGGUGGUAAACCGCUUUGGCCUGUGAUGAAGCGGGAGUGACGGUAAUGGGUAAGGAAGCACCGGCUAACUACGUG
Molecule: ribosomal RNA, 468 nt
Filed under: uncultured bacterium
Lineage: Bacteria
Description: partial 16S ribosomal RNA
Rfam family: Bacterial small subunit ribosomal RNA
Source: RNAcentral